AUUGCUGUGAGAAUUAUGAAAUUUGGCUCUUUGAAGCUUCUCAAGGCUGGACACAUCUUGAGCAUCAUCUGCAUUCAUCACCAGACCAAAUAAGAAACAUCUCUGCAAGGAGAUACAGCAGUGAUGCAGCAACAGGAGUGCCCCUGGGAUGUUCCUGGCACUGCAACAGUAGCAACAGUGGCUUGGAAGACCUUUGGCUUGCUUCCUUCCAAGAGGCUGAAGUGACUCACUCAGAUCCUCCUCUGAGAAAAAAUCACAAUGCUCAAGACUCGGAAGGAAAGCCAAAGGGAAAAGACUUCAAAACCAAUGAUUCAACAUGGGACCUGCUGCUAGUUGGGCCUGCUGCUAGGAUCCCCAGCCACCCAGUGCCAGAUCCACUGUCUGAAUGAAAGCCUGGCAUAGAGAUUUCUGCUGCGCCUGUUAUGGAGUUUCCUUCUCUGUGCCCAAGAGUCAUGUCUUCCCAGGUGAUAAGCAAGCACUGCUAGAAGACAGGGCAAAG
This 499-nucleotide long non-coding RNA is filed under the name Chrysolophus pictus (golden pheasant). RNAcentral's name for it is "lncRNA (ENSCPIG00010011053.1)". The record is from RNAcentral. Lineage: Eukaryota; Metazoa; Chordata; Aves; Galliformes; Phasianidae.